Long non-coding RNA from Eucalyptus grandis, 856 nucleotides. RefSeq lists it as uncharacterized. NCBI's taxonomy places the organism in Eukaryota, Viridiplantae, Streptophyta, Magnoliopsida, Myrtales, Myrtaceae. The transcript is spliced from 2 exons. The record is from RefSeq and is a predicted model, not a curated record.
AGGGGAGAGGGAGGAAGGAUCAAUCGCCGUAGCUACUCUUGGGUGUUAGUUUGAGGAUUCUGCAUUUGCUACGAGAUGCUUUUAUUCUGAGAAGGUCAUCACCCAGCGACAUCCAUGACCCACUCUUUGGAAGUAGGCGAGCCCCGUCACCAUUAAUCCCGUCAAGUUGCCAAUGGUUCAGAAUUAAUCACCACGUAGUGAGAUGCACGCGCUACCAUCACAAGUGGUUUCGAUCUCGUGACCUCACUUUUGUAGAAUGGCGGCCCAUACCAAUAAGUCACAAUCAUUGGGGAUUAGGGGUCUCCCAUUAUUGUGGGUCAACAUAAUCAUUAGAUUUAUUCAGCGGGAAAAAAAAUCAUCAAAAGGGGUCACUAAUUUCUAAGAGUAGUAUAUAUUGAAGCUUGAACCAAUAUACAGCAAGAUCAGUGCCAAAAACUUGCACUCAGGAGCUAGGAGCUAGUGAGUGGAAGGGCGCCAGCAAAAGAAGCCAAGCGGCAGAAAAAGAACAAAGGCUAACAGCCAAAAAUAGGAAAACCCAAAAACCCGGAGUCAACAAGGACACCCGAGAGCAGGCUGGCAAACAAAGAAGGCCAAAGGAGCCCCCACAAACAAGCACCUAAGUAGAAUACGAAGCACCCAAGAAAAUAGAGUGAUCAAAACCCCAACAUCUCUGGAGUCUUCUAUUUCUUGUAUUGCCGGGAACAUUCUUGAAGGCAAGCGCCUUAAAGGCGAGCGCCCUAAGUAGAAUACGAAGCACCUAAGGUUAUAUUUGUUUAUUAUGCAGGAAAGAUAGUUUUUAUUCAGGACUAACUAAUUGUCCCAUUCCAGAUCUUUUAAAUUUCUUAUUUUUUACUCA